ACUCUAAUAGUUUAUGA
RNAcentral lists this transfer RNA (17 nucleotides) under Pycnonotus goiavier (yellow-vented bulbul). RNAcentral describes it as "partial tRNA-Thr". The record is from RNAcentral. Lineage: Eukaryota; Metazoa; Chordata; Aves; Passeriformes; Pycnonotidae.